CAGGAUGUUGCCUAUACAGCAAACAAUACAGGCUGUGCUGUAAUGCUAGGUCUGCACUAGCAAUACAAGCCAGAACAAUGCAUGAGCACGAUGCUUUAGAAAUGACACCACGGAGGCUUUGCUGUGCAACACUCAGACUGCACGAGCCCGACGGGCCUGACGGGCCGCGGCUUUUUGGGAGAGCACUCAGCGGCACAGUGGCAGCCUGUGAUUGCUGUGGUGGAGCCCUGAGGUCAUCACAGUCGGGGCUUUGAUGGGCAGAGCUUUGACUUUUCUGUUAGCAACCAGGACCAUAAUGAACCCUGACUCCAACAGACACUCAGGAUCCACCUGCCCAAGCUGCAUGAACCUGUUGUUGAUGUCAGAGAGUCAAACUCUGCUGAAGAGUGGGUUGUUUCCUGUUCAGCCACUGGUCGACCUGCUCCCACUGUAACACUCAGUGUCUCACA
Molecule: long non-coding RNA, 449 nt
Organism: Astatotilapia calliptera (eastern happy)
Lineage: Eukaryota; Metazoa; Chordata; Actinopteri; Cichliformes; Cichlidae
Source: Ensembl